Molecule: ribosomal RNA, 600 nt
Filed under: uncultured bacterium
Lineage: Bacteria
Description: bacterial SSU rRNA
Rfam family: Bacterial small subunit ribosomal RNA (bases 1-521)
Source: RNAcentral
CCUACGGGAGGCAGCAGUGGGGAAUCUUGCGCAAUGGGCGAAAGCCUGACGCAGCGAUGCCGCGUGCGGGAUGAAGGCCUUCGGGUUGUAAACCGCUUUCAGCAGGGACGAAAUUGACGGUACCUGCAGAAGAAGCCCCGGCCAACUACGUGCCAGCAGCCGCGGUAAUACGUAGGGGGCGAGCGUUGUCCGGAUUUAUUGGGCGUAAAGAGCUCGUAGGCGGUUCGAUAAGUCGGAUGUGAAAUCUCCACGCUCAACGUGGAGAGGCCAUUCGAUACUGUCGUGACUAGAGUCCGGUAGGGGAGUGUGGAAUUCCCGGUGUAACGGUGAAAUGCGCAGAGAUCGGGAGGAACACCCGUAGCGAAGGCGGCACUCUGGGCCGGUACUGACGCUGAGGAGCGAAAGCGUGGGGAGCAAACAGGAUUAGAUACCCUGGUAGUCCACGCCGUAAACGUUGGGCACUAGGUGUGGGACUCUAUCGACGGGUUCCGUGCCGUAGCUAACGCAUUAAGUGCCCCGCCUGGGGNGGUACGGCCGCGAGACUAACUACAANAGAUAGACGGCGNGAGACGNGCCGACGGACGACGACGAGGGAGUAGG